AUUGAACGCUGGCGGCAGGCCUAACACAUGCAAGUCGAGCGGAUGAAGGGAGCUUGCUCCUGGAUUCAGCGGCGGACGGGUGAGUAAUGCCUAGGAAUCUGCCUGGUAGUGGGGGAUAACGUCCUGAAACGGGCGCUAAUACCGCAUACGUCCUGCGGGAGCAAGUGGGGGAUCUUCGGACCUCACGCUCUCAGAUGAGCCUAGGUCGGAUUUGCUAGUUGGUGGGGUAAAGGCCUACCAAGGCGACGAUCCGUAACUGGUCUGAGAGGAUGAUCAGGCACACUGGAACUGAGACACGGUCAAGACGCCUAAGGGAGGCAGCAGAGGGGAAUAUUGGACAAUGGGCGAAAGCCUGAUCCAGCCAGGCCGAGUGUGUGAAGAAGGUCUUCGGAGUGUAAAGCACGUUAAGGUGGGAGGAAGGGCAGUAAGUUAAUACCUUGCUGGUUUGACGUUACCAACAGAAUAAGCACCGGCUAACUUCGUG
This 484-nucleotide ribosomal RNA is filed under the name uncultured bacterium. RNAcentral describes it as "partial 16S ribosomal RNA". It matches the Rfam family "Bacterial small subunit ribosomal RNA", at positions 30 to 507 of the family's 1533-position model. The record is from RNAcentral.